Long non-coding RNA from Amblyraja radiata (thorny skate), 145 nucleotides. RefSeq lists it as uncharacterized. The record is from RefSeq and is a predicted model, not a curated record. NCBI's taxonomy places the organism in Eukaryota, Metazoa, Chordata, Chondrichthyes, Rajiformes, Rajidae. The transcript is spliced from 3 exons.
GCUGACUGCUAUGAUACGUUCAUAAGUUAAAGAAUGAGAAUUAGGCCAUUCAGCCCAUCAAGUCUACAUAGUCAUUGAAUCAUGGCUGAUUUGCCUUUCCCUCCCAACACCAUUCUCCUGCCUUCUCCCCAUAACCCCUGACACC